CAUCGUCACCAUUUGAAGGAAUUUUGGAGAAAGAAAUAAGAGUUAAAGCAAGUGUGGUGAAUAAAAUAGGAGUUGAAGCAUUAUACAGAGAUAAAGACGGCUCCCUACAACUUCUACCCCUCACUAAAGUUGGGUAGCUAAAACACUGAGGAUGAAGAAGAAGAAGAAUUACUGGAAGCGCCAAAUAUAAGACCCAAAAAGAUUUUUUUGUUCAUGUUGUGUAUGUCUCAUACAUAUUCGAGGAUGGUAGGCGUUGAACAGAACGGAGCAGAGUGGAGUGG
Ipomoea nil (Japanese morning glory) is the source of this 281-nucleotide long non-coding RNA. RefSeq lists it as uncharacterized. The record is from RefSeq and is a predicted model, not a curated record. The transcript has 4 exons. Lineage: Eukaryota; Viridiplantae; Streptophyta; Magnoliopsida; Solanales; Convolvulaceae.